CCUACGGGUGGCAGCAGUGAGGAAUAUUGGUCAAUGGACGGAAGUCUGAACCAGCCAUGCCGCGUGCAGGAUGACGGCCCUAUGAGUUGUAAACUGCUUUUGUACGAGAAUAAUAGUUCUUACGUGUAGGGACUUGAAUGUAUCGUACGAAUAAGGAUUGGCUAACUCCGUGCCAGCCGCCGCGGUAAUACGGAGGCAUCGAGCGUUAUCCGGAUUUAUUGGGUGUAAAGGGUGCGUAGGCUGUCGGAUAAGUUCGAGGGCAAAUGUCGGGGCUUAACCCCGUGCCUGCCUCUGAUACUGGUCGACUAGAGAGCGGAUGCAGCAGGCGGAAUGAGUAGUGUAGCGGUGAAAUGCAUAUAUAUUACUCAGAACACCGAUUGCGCAGGCAGCUUGCUAAUCCGCAACUGACGCUGAUGCACGAAAGCGUGGGUAGCGAACAGGAUUAGAUACCCCUGUAGUC
RNAcentral lists this ribosomal RNA (460 nucleotides) under uncultured bacterium. RNAcentral describes it as "partial 16S ribosomal RNA". It matches the Rfam family "Bacterial small subunit ribosomal RNA", at positions 338 to 795 of the family's 1533-position model. The record is from RNAcentral.